UUACAACUCGUAAUUGAUAAUUUUCACCAUGAAAAAUACAUGGUGCCAUUUGAAAAUACCUAAAAGUAUUAACUUCUAAACCUAAAAAUAAGCAAAAAGAUAUAUUGAAAAUACCACUCCGAAAGUCUAUAAAAUACAACUUAUUCAAAAUUCAAAUAGAAUUCAACUCCUAAUUAAAAGUGCUAACUAGUUGACUAGGUUUAUCUUAAUAAAAUUACUUGCAGUAAUAAUUUAACAAUCCUAAAAAAUAGAAGAGCUUCAGCACUGUUGUUCCCUUCCGGUAGCGCUACACUACAAUGUGUAUCUUUGCAUUUCACAUUUUACCAACUCACAUCCUGCCUGACAUGAAGCAACAAUGGAGGAGAAAAUCCUCCUCUGUAAAUCUUUGAAAUCCACUGCAAGCUUUACAUCCCAACUUGUGGUCUCCCUGACAUGUUAAAGUACAUUUUGGUUAGGCCAAUGCAAUUCAUCUCUCUAAAGUGAUGUGUUGUCUGUUACCUGUUAUCCAAUUCAGGAUCUCCUAGCCCAUCCCGCAUUUCUUCGAACAUAGAACAAAGGUCCCUAAGUAUUUCGAGUUCAAUUUCCA
Molecule: long non-coding RNA, 586 nt
Filed under: Solanum tuberosum (potato)
Lineage: Eukaryota; Viridiplantae; Streptophyta; Magnoliopsida; Solanales; Solanaceae
Description: long non-coding RNA (STUB_LNC002633)
Source: RNAcentral